Long non-coding RNA from Corticium candelabrum, 489 nucleotides. RefSeq lists it as uncharacterized. The record is from RefSeq and is a predicted model, not a curated record. The transcript is spliced from 3 exons. NCBI's taxonomy places the organism in Eukaryota, Metazoa, Porifera, Homoscleromorpha, Homosclerophorida, Plakinidae.
AUGAGUAUCUAGCUAGACGGCCAACGACGUGUUGCUGGCGACGGGAGAUAAGAUAUUCCAGAUCCGAUCUACUUCUAAAAUGUAUUCAACCAUCGUUACUUCGGCAUCAUCAACAAUCCUAGUAAUGUCUAAUUUAUGCUCUGUUUACUACUUACAUCUGUAAAUGAAGCAUCCUCUAGCUGUCGAAGAGUCAGUUACGAUAUUUAUUGUUUGCUUGCUUUCUCUCGUGACAAUAGACAUCUAACAGAGUUGCCCAGGGUUGUCAAGCGAAUUAAUGAACGGGUCAUGACAUUUGUGGUCUGAUCGCUUCAAAUUGCCGUACGAAAUGAUGCAGAUGCAAUUAAUUAAGCGGUCUAACUUUCGUUAUACACUUGCCGGAAACAAAUAAAAUGAGGUCAAUCAAUUUCUCUAAACUUAUUUGUUUAUAGGCGGAUCUAAAGAAAGGUUAAUUCAACGCCCACGCGGUACCCGCAACACCACAGCAAAUAA